GAUGAAGAACGCAGCGAAAUGCGAUAAGUAAUGUGAAUUGCAGAAUUCAGUGAAUUAUCGAAUCUUUGAACGCACAUUGCGCCCGCCAGUAUUCUGGCGGGCAUGCCUGUUCGAGCGUCAUUACAACCCUCAGGCCCCCGGGCCUGGCGUUGGGGAUCGGCGGAAGCCCCCUGCGGGCACAACGCCGUCCCCCAAAUACAGUGGCGGUCCCGCCGCAGCUUCCAUUGCGUAGUAGCUAACACCUCGCAACUGGAGAGCGGCGCGGCCACGCCGUAAAACACCCAACUUCUGAAUGUUGACCUCGAAUCAGGUAGGAAUACCCGCUGAACUUAAGCAUAUCAAUAAGCGGAGGA
Molecule: unclassified non-coding RNA, 353 nt
Filed under: soil metagenome
Description: partial contains 5.8S ribosomal RNA, internal transcribed spacer 2, and large subunit ribosomal RNA
Rfam family: 5.8S ribosomal RNA (bases 1-120)
Source: RNAcentral